CCUACGGGUGGCAGCAGUGGGGAAUAUUGGACAAUGGGGGGAACCCUGAUCCAGCCAUGCCGCGUGUGUGAAGAAGGCCCUCGGGUUGUAAAGCACUUUCAGUGAGGAAGAACGCCUGGUGGUUAAUACCCAUCAGGAAAGACAUCACUCACAGAAGAAGCACCGGCUAACUCCGUGCCAGCAGCCGCGGUAAUACGGAGGGUGCGAGCGUUAAUCGGAAUUACUGGGCGUAAAGCGCGCGUAGGUGGCUUGAUAAGCCGGUUGUGAAAGCCCCGGGCUCAACCUGGGAACGGCAUCCGGAACUGUCAAGCUAGAGUGCAGGAGAGGAAGGUAGAAUUCCCGGUGGAGCGGUGAAAUGCGUAGAGAUCGGGAGGAAUACCAGUGGCGAAGGCGGCCUUCUGGACUGACACUGACACUGAGGUGCGAAAGCGUGGGUAGCAAACAGGAGUAGAUACCCUUGUAGUC
RNAcentral lists this ribosomal RNA (465 nucleotides) under Vreelandella stevensii. Its description in RNAcentral is "partial 16S ribosomal RNA". It matches the Rfam family "Bacterial small subunit ribosomal RNA", at positions 338 to 795 of the family's 1533-position model. The record is from RNAcentral. Lineage: Bacteria; Pseudomonadati; Pseudomonadota; Gammaproteobacteria; Oceanospirillales; Halomonadaceae.